UAAAAGGCGAGGAAAGGGAAUAGUAAAAAAAGAAUUUUCAGAGAGUAGAGUCCAAAGGCUGUAAGAUUCUACAAGAUUUUUUUGAACCCGCCCUGGAGCUGAAGAUAAAAAGUCUUUCCGGUAGAUUACCGUUAUCAUAAAGAGUGGGUAAACAGAAAGUUUAUCAAUUUGGGUGGUACCGCGAAUAACCUUCGUCCCUAUU
Molecule: non-coding RNA, 202 nt
Filed under: Garciella nitratireducens
Lineage: Bacteria; Bacillati; Bacillota; Clostridia; Eubacteriales; Eubacteriaceae
Description: T-box sequence
Rfam family: T-box leader
About the family: Uncharged tRNA acts as the effector for transcription antitermination of genes in the T-box leader family. T-boxes are found upstream of many aminoacyl-tRNA synthetase genes and some amino acid biosynthetic genes usually in Gram-positive bacteria. The anticodon of a specific tRNA base pairs to a specifier sequence within the T-box motif, and the NCCA acceptor tail of the tRNA base pairs to a conserved bulge in the T-box antiterminator hairpin.
Source: RNAcentral